GCAUAUCAAUAAGCGGAGGAAAAGAAAAUAACAAUGAUUCCCUCAGUAAAGGCGAGCGAAGAGGGAUAAGCUCAAAUUUUAAAUCUGUUGGGUUCCACUCGACAGAGUUGUAUUUUGAAGAAACGUUUUCUGCAUCCAGGAUUAGCCUAAAUCCUUUGGGAUAAGGUAUCAUGGAGGGUGAGAAUCCCGUUCAUGGUUAAUCUUAAGGAAGCUCUACGAUACGUUUUCCAAGAGUCGAGUUGUUUGGGAUUGCAGCUCAAAAUGGGAGGUAAAUUUCUCCUAAGGCUAAAUAUUGGCGAGAGACCGAUAGCGAACAAGUACCGUGAGGGAAAGAUGAAAAGAACUUUGAAAAGAGAGUUAAACAGUACGUGAAAUUGUUGAAAGGGAAACGAUUGAUGUCAGUCAUACCAACGGGAAAUCAACCUUUUGAGCUCGGUCUCGUGGGUUUUGAAGAGUUUCAAAGCCUUCGGAUUCGCGGGAUUGGGAUCUCUUGGCGUACUUUUUCGUACGGUUAGUCAAUAUCGGUUUUGAAUGUCAUAAAAUGACUGGAGGAAUGUAGCUUCGAUCUCGUAUUGAAGUGUUAUAGCCUUUGGUAGAUGUGAUGUUUGAGACCGAGGAUUGCAACGGACACCCUUCAGGGCUAUUCGUCUGAUCUCUGAUACGUUGCCUUGAUGUUGAAAGCUUGCUUAUGAUGUUAGGGUAUUACGGUCAAAAGGUUAGAACGAAUUACAUUCGUUAAGGAUGUUGACGUAAUGGCUUUAAACGAC
Molecule: ribosomal RNA, 767 nt
Filed under: Funneliformis mosseae
Lineage: Eukaryota; Fungi; Glomeromycota; Glomeromycetes; Glomerales; Glomeraceae
Description: eukaryotic LSU rRNA
Rfam family: Eukaryotic large subunit ribosomal RNA
Source: RNAcentral